GGGCACCCAAGUGAAGGAUCCUGCUGAGGAUUCAGGGGCUGGUGUUGCUGUCAGGGAUCUUAGCCAAGAGCCUCAGGUUCCGGUAAAAUGAGGAUGAUGAUGUCCAACAGCUUAUGGGUCCUUGAAGUCCCAGCAUUUUUCAUCUUUCAAUCUCACUUCCUCUUCCUGAUAAUAGAGAGGCAACAAGAACUCAGGGCAUGCAAUGGGGCUCAACUUCUACUCUCUGCCACAAUUUCAUCAUGAUUCCCCCAAAGAGCAGAGCCCCAGGAGCCAGCAGGGGGCAGGGUGGGCAUUUCUGGACUGGAUUCAUUCAUAAUGAGUAUGAGAUCAAAAUUUCCAAUCCAUAGGUCUCAGGUGCCAUCUGCUGAUAGAUCAGACCAGAUG
This 384-nucleotide long non-coding RNA is filed under the name Pongo abelii (Sumatran orangutan). RNAcentral describes it as "lincRNA". The record is from RNAcentral. Lineage: Eukaryota; Metazoa; Chordata; Mammalia; Primates; Hominidae.